Molecule: long non-coding RNA, 2006 nt
Organism: Dicentrarchus labrax (European seabass)
Lineage: Eukaryota; Metazoa; Chordata; Actinopteri; Moronidae
Source: Ensembl
AGCACAAAAUUAGCCUGGGAUGAACGCGUAACACAAUUACAUGCUGUUAAUACCAUCAAAGAGGCAUUUGUGGCGCCUGUUGUGGCCUUUGCAGCUUAACUGGCCUAAUUUGGAAAAAAUGUCACAGUCCUUUCAGAAAAGGUGACGGUUAAACAUUUCUCAGAGGUCAAGCUGCUGUAACUUUUUCUCCAUGAUUAUUGCCUACAUCAAACAAUUCUGCACAAAACAGCUACGAGGAUAUAGUCUGUAUAUCCUCCAGUACGACUUCCAGGAGCAAAAGAUGGACAUUGAAACGUCUGCAGUGAAUGUUAGCGUCUCAGAUCAUGUCGGAGGCUGCAGUUUCACUGACACACUAAUGUUCAUCUUCUCCGUGGUUGGGUGUGGACGUUGAGCCUUAAACUGCAGUUCAAGGCUGGAAUACAAAGCUUCUCAAAGGGAUACCAUCACACCGGAACAAACAUUUGGGUUGCAGGGCCUCAAGCAAAAAAUGUUUGAACUUUUUGGAGUAACUCUUCUCUUUUAUGUCUCUAAUAUUAGUACAUUUCAUUUGAAUUGGCAGGAACAAUAUGUUUGGUGAAUAGAACUGAAUGUAACACAAGGACUGGGUAACAUUCUGGUCAGAUAAGCAUUUGAAAUAAUCCCAAAUGGGGGAAGAUACUUGCAUCCAACUUGCAAAUUGCAUGCAUGCAUGAAAAAUAUUAUCAUAUUAGCUGUGUCCAAAGAGGCCAAAUGCCACAUUUGGAUGCUCUUGAGGUAUACUGUAACAGAAUGAUGACUUGUGGUCCAAAUACCUUACAUCAGAUGAAGCUGAAAGUUCAUUCCCUACCUAAAAAUAACUCUUAUUGUCUUCCAGAGUGGAUUCAGUUUGUACAUAUCACGUAAUGUGCUGUUGAAAACUUUGGAAAAAGCCAGAAAGUGGCUUUUGUGGUCAAAACUGCAUUAUUUUUCUCAGGAAAAAAAAUUAAAAUCAUCAUUCAAUAUCACUGUGAAAACUAUAAAAUGGAUGACCAAGCAAGUACUAGAACAUUUUCCAGCUUGCACAAAUAAAUAAUAAUAGUAUUUGGUUACGCUAACUGGGGUCUCAUCUGGGAGAAGAACAAGAACAUUUAAUAAAUUACAUUUCUACGAGGAACUUAGGUUAAACUAAAGUCUGUCUUUAGGGAAACUGUGAACUAUAAAUCUGUGCUGAGUUGGUGUCACUUCCCCACUCUAAUAAAACAAUCACUGUGCAAGGUGGUUCUGACCUUUGCCCCUCACUACGCUACUUCACUGUUGCUUGUAAAACUGAGGCACGUUGUCCUGGUUGAUUGUACGUAUCUCUGUUCUUCUAACAUCUGCUCAAUGUGUAAAAUGUAAAGUAACUCUGCUACAACACCUCCAACAGUGCCCUUCACUAAAAAUAGCCCAUUUAUUCAUCCUCAUCCAACCGGCGUGAUUGCACAUUUCCUUCUUUUGUGAAAAACCACCACAAACAAGUGCUCAUAUUCUCCAAAGUGGAGGCUGUUUAAUCCGUUGUGACAGCUGCUCUGGCUGUGGUCGGUGGCCAGUGAGUGCUCCAGCUGUGUUAAGAGUUAAAAUAGUCUUGCAGCUGCGUGUUGGCAUUAAAUGGUGGAGCGAUCCCAUUUAACCAGUGCCCAUGUAAACCACACACGCUUUCCACAUAGUUGAAAUUCAAUGGCUCUUCUCUCUUUUCAUGUUCUCACUAAACCUUGUGUUUCAGCUCUUUUUGGCCUCACGGACAAUUCACCCUUCAAUCAGGAGACGGAGCAGGGAUAUCUCAAUGCAUCCCUUUUUUGUUUUCAUUUUAAAUGAUAAAAAUCAGACCCUUUCUAUGAAUGUAAUUGGAUGCAAUCAAAUAUGAAAACUGACGUAGAACUUCUGUGUUUAAGGAAAGCUGGAGCAGAGGUGACGUACUGACUGUCUUACACUAGCCCGGUCCCUUUGGUGCAGGUGUGUUUGGUGGUACAUCCACGUGGAACAUGUGCCACAGCAGCUGCUCCCAAAAG